GAUUUCAAAUGGCACUGCACUCAAUCAAAGCUGCCAAAGAGGCAAGAUAUUUCGUCCGAGAUGAAUGCAGCAAAGCUAACCAGUACUUGCGAGUUCGAAAGCCAUCCUUGAAAACCAGAGGUCUGUAUAGAAAUUUGCAUUGUUCUUUUCUAGGAGCACUACAAGAAGAACUAAAACCUUUCAUUACCUUCUCAUGUUCAGGGGCCCUGUGAUGCAAGUCGCCACACACUUUUGUGUGCAUCUCCCGGCCUUGGGAGAGAUUGGUCUUUGGAUCCUGGGCGCUUUCUCGGAGCCUGAGCGUUUAAAACC
Molecule: long non-coding RNA, 309 nt
Filed under: Selaginella moellendorffii
Lineage: Eukaryota; Viridiplantae; Streptophyta; Lycopodiopsida; Selaginellales; Selaginellaceae
Description: long non-coding RNA (SMOE_LNC001560)
Source: RNAcentral